UACGGAGGGUGCAAGCGUUAUCCGGAUUCACUGGGUUUAAAGGGUGCGUAGGUGGGAAUGUAAGUCAGUGGUGAAAUCUCCGUGCUUAACAUGGAAACUGCCAUUGAUACUAUGUUUCUUGAAUCUUCCGGAGGUCAGCGGAAUAUGUCAUGUAGCGGUGAAAUGCUUAGAUAUGACAUAGAACACCAAUUGCGAAGGCAGCUGACUACAGGGGCAUUGACACUGAGGCACGAAAGCCAGGGGAGCAAACGGG
This 253-nucleotide ribosomal RNA is filed under the name uncultured bacterium. Its description in RNAcentral is "partial 16S ribosomal RNA". It matches the Rfam family "Bacterial small subunit ribosomal RNA", at positions 524 to 776 of the family's 1533-position model. The record is from RNAcentral.